AUAUAUAUAUAUAUAUAUAUAUAUAUAUAUGGAGCACUCACUCAAAUGGCCACUUGGCCAUUUAAUAAAGAAAUGGCCAAAUGGCCAUCAAACAAAUUAUAUAUAUAUAUAUAUAUAUGGCCGUACGGCCAGUUGCAUGAAAUGGCCGAAUGGCCAUUUCAUGAACUGAAGGGCAUUCGGCCCUUCAGUUUAGAAAAAAAAAAUAAUAUAUAUAUAUUAAUGAGUGGGGCGACUUGCGCCCCACAUGGAAAAACAAUAAGUGAAAGGCCAAAUGGCCCUUCACGUGAUGCAAAGGCCAAAUGGCCUUUCAUUAAUAAAAAUUAAAAAUUAAAAAAAAAAAAAAAAAAAAAAAAAAGAAAAGUCAAGAAUUCAAGCAAGUGGUCCACGUUAAAAGAAAAAUGAGAAGUUUUAGAUAACUAAAAGACAAAAAUAAAAAAAUGUUAGAAAAGAUUAAAAGGAAAAGAGAAUUAGAUGAAAACAAAAGAUAACAUAAAAUAGAACAUUAAAUGGAGAGAUGAGGGUGUGUCGGCCAUAAAGAGAGGAAGGGUUAAGUGGAAAGAUAAGUAAAGGGAAAAGAAAAGAAUUAAAAAUAAAAGGAAAUACAAUUGCAUGUGGGACAACCUGCGCCCCACAUGCGUAAAAGUAGAAUGAAGGGCCAAAUGGCCCUUCACUAAUAAAAGGAAGAAAGGCUCCCGAGAGCCUUAUUUCAGAAAAUGGAGAGAGUUCCUCAUUUCUCUUUCCUUAAGGUUUUUACACAAAAUUCAUGAUCUACGAAGAUCUAAUGGUCCGAUCUUCGAUCCGUCUUCAGAAACGUGAUCCCUGCACUUGGAUCUACGUUUCCACCGAUCGUUUUGAGGUUAUGAACAGAGAGACCUAGGCGGCCGGAAUGGGAUCUAGGAAUGCAUUAGAAUAUUGCAUUUAUGUUUUCUUAAUAAGUGCACUUGCACAACAAAUUUAGUUUUCUUUGGAUUUUUAAUUAUUGAAUCAAACAUAAUUGUUUAUUUCGAAAUAACCGUUUCCGCAUUUAUUAAAAGCUCUGAGUUUUGAAAUCAUUAUUAUUUUUAAUUUAUUUAAAUCAGCAUACUAGUUAAGAUAUUUGGCAAACCUUACGAAUCUUUGCAGUUUUUAAAGAGAAAAGAACGAACCUAACCCUUAGUGGUUUGGGGGCGUUACAAUUCGAGCUACCAACAUAAAAGUAUUAUUGUAGGUGGGUUUAUACGUGGUUGCUUCCUAGCCAAAGGAACUUCUAUGUAUGGGUCCAACUGCAUAGUAUGUUUUAAAGGUUUUCUGAUAGUCGGUGUAGGCUAUAUCAGCUAUGGGGGUUUUCAAACAAAAUUCUAUAAAUUGGUAGCUGUUAUAGUGUACGUGAGACUAAAAAGAAAAUUUGGUUCAUUUGGAAAAAAAAACUCAGUUAGUUUAAUAUCACUGAGGUGGUGAACUCAUCCCUUCACCUAUACGGAUGUGGCAAACCCCCACAACCGUAUAGAUGAUGUCCAUUUGACUGCAGGUACACCUGACUUAGAGGAGGACCCCGUAGCUGCGUAUUUGGGAUAUUACGAUUGAAGCACACCGCGACAGUCGUAUUGAGUUGGACUAUGGAGUUCACUCUUUUGGGGUAUUUUGUAUAUGGCUAGUGACGUAGGUGUCACAUAUCCUUUUUUGUAGCCAUUCUCUUGUAUUAGUGGAAUUGUAGCCUUAAACAGUGAGACAGAUAUAUGGCUCUUUUGUAUGGACCACAUGUAUAUUUAGAUGUGCUUUCCGUUAGGAGAUGUAACGUCAUGAUUAUUCCGCUGUUAGAUAUUACUCUGAAUAUCAGGUACAUAAUAUGGACCAUGUAUGUAUGUUGGCUGAGCGACACGUAGUCGUGCCACUGUGAUGACCCUUUUAUGUUUUAUAAAUAUUUUAUACAAAAAAAAAAAUGGGUCGUCACACCAAAUCAAGCACAUAUCUCCAUAAUGGGCAGCAACUCUACACUUAUUGACAACAAGAUUGAAGAAAAUCGUCCAAAAUUCCAAUAUUUCAACAAAGUGGCAAAAUCCUUGAGUUAUGCAUGUCACUUUCAUCAUAACUUUCGACUCGAAAAUUGGAUUGCGUUGAUUUUGGUGGCGUUGGAAAGCUCAUGAAAAAUUAAACAAAUAAGUCUGAAAUAGGUUUUUUCUAUUUCGGACAUUUACUAUGCCCAAAUUGCCCCGCAAUAAAAGUGCGCAAAUCUGUGCGAAUUUGGAGUUUGUCUUUUCCUGCUUUGAUUGGAUUUUGUAUGACUUGGGGACCAGAUUUUAUUAAACCUGCAGCACCGAAAGGCACAAGCUGGGACCACCGGAGUCCCUUUCCAAACAUGUUACUGUGCACCAAAUCAAGACAAAGCGAUUUCCUUCAUGCAACAUGGAAUUGUGCACACCUGGACAGCAGCUCAUCAUCAUCUCCACUCAAUGGGACAGCAUCAUUUCCACUAAAGGGACAGCAGCUCAUCAUCAUCUCCACUCAAUGGACAGCACAUCUUCCACUCAAAUGGACACAUCUCCUUUCUCUGUGUGCAGGACAGCAGCAACUCAAGCACUUGACAGCAUGGACAACAUCAUUUCUCUUCUCCCCAAGCAGCAUCUUCACUUUCUCUAUGUGCUGGACAGCAUCUCCAUACUGUCCAAGCUGCUGGACAGCACGUGAAGGCAGCAACUCUUCUCCAAGACAGCAACCUGCAGCAUGCUAUUUCUAUAUAAAAGGCAGCACCAUGCCAUAGAGAAGAGGGGAGAAUAGGAGAAGAGAGAAUAGGAGAGGAGAGAAUAGAGCAGAAACUCUGUAGUUAGUUUUAAUUUCGUGCUUAUUGUAGUGUAAUUCAGUAGUUUAUUUUCAGAAUACUUUCCCUUUGUAAGAGCUUUUCUUUCAUUUCCAUGGUUGUUCAUCAUUUUCUUGUGGUGUUCUUAGUCAUGGAAGGCUAGUAACCUCAACUAGGGUUGAGGAUGAAACCUUUCCAUUGAUGACACUCACAAUCUUGUUGUACCACUUGCUCAUUUAAUGAUAUACCAUGUUAGUUGUUCAA
Molecule: long non-coding RNA, 3037 nt
Organism: Alnus glutinosa
Lineage: Eukaryota; Viridiplantae; Streptophyta; Magnoliopsida; Fagales; Betulaceae
Exons: 2
Source: RefSeq, a predicted model, not a curated record